This 253-nucleotide ribosomal RNA is filed under the name uncultured bacterium. RNAcentral describes it as "partial 16S ribosomal RNA". It matches the Rfam family "Bacterial small subunit ribosomal RNA", at positions 524 to 776 of the family's 1533-position model. The record is from RNAcentral.
UACGGAGGGUGCGAGCGUUAUCCGGCCUCACUGGGUUUAAAGGGUGCGUAGGCGGGAUAGUAAGUCAGUGGUGAAAGCCCCGGGCUCAACUUGGGAAUUGCCAUUGAUACUGCUUUCCUUGAGUGCGAUUGAGGUGGGUAGAAUAUGUCAUGUAGCGGUGAAAUGCAUAGAUAUGACAUAGAAUACCGAUUGCGAAGGCAGCUCACUAAAUCGCAACUGACGCUGAGGCACGAAAGCGUGGGGAGCAAACAGG